CGCAAAAUGACAUCAAAACCUGUUUUUCUGGUUUUGAGCUUAACUUUCAUUUCCGGACUUUUCCCUAGCUUGACUUGUCUUUGUACUUCUUGGAGUUUGCUGAAUGGCUAUUGGAUGAACUUGUUGUUGUGUGUGUACCUUUGGGUUUGAAUGAGAAGAAUAAUGAAGCCAUGAUGGCUGGAAAAGUUAGCAAAUGUAGGGGAAGUGCUGUCCGAACUUUUAAAGGACUUGUUUGCAUUGAGUUUGUGAUCUAAGACUUGGAUUUGAGCAAGGCAAUGUUAUAUGAUGGAUGAUUUCUGAGCCAUGGAGGUGAGUGACCCUAAACUGUUUCCAAAGUUACUUUUGAAAUGUUCCUUGCAUUGUUUCUUUGGUUUGCAUAUCAUGUGUGCGCGCAUACGAGUUCUUGACAUGGUUUGGCUUUAAUGAGUUCUUGAGGAGUCUUGUGCUGGACACCAACGUCUCCACCACUUUCGUGAGUUUGUGAUAUGAUCUGGAGCACCGAUGCUGCUCCCCUUUAAUGUUUAUGGUUUCGUGAUCUGUUUGAGCGUUGGGUGUUUAGUUUCAAUGAUUUCACUGGCUCACGAGAGCAAAAAUACGUGCAUUUGAUACUUGAAUCAUGACAUCAUCGAAAUGAAUUAUUGUGAAAGAUAUUUGAUUACUGGUUUUAUUUGGUUACUCGCUGAGCUUCUAACUUACCCCAAAAAUAUUUUAUUCCCCUCCACAGGGCUCAAGGCGAAGGCAGGACUUGUUGUGCUUAUUCCUGUGAAUGGAUGGAUUAUCUCGUGUAUGGUUUGAAUUUGGAUUUCCUUUUGU
This 813-nucleotide long non-coding RNA is filed under the name Coffea arabica (coffee). RNAcentral's name for it is "long non-coding RNA (CARA_LNC007235)". The record is from RNAcentral. Lineage: Eukaryota; Viridiplantae; Streptophyta; Magnoliopsida; Gentianales; Rubiaceae.